RNAcentral lists this long non-coding RNA (311 nucleotides) under Elaeis guineensis (African oil palm). RNAcentral's name for it is "long non-coding RNA (EGUI_LNC066795)". The record is from RNAcentral. Lineage: Eukaryota; Viridiplantae; Streptophyta; Magnoliopsida; Arecales; Arecaceae.
AGAGAGGGGAUGCAAAAUUAAGUGUGUUAGCUUGGGUGGUGCGCACGACCAAUCCCCAAUCAACACAUGUCACCAUUUAAUAGUGGUUGUUAUGGGGUGCUUGAAUCUAGGGGGGAGACCCCUGUCUCACCUUCAUUCAGAGUGGCAGUUCAGUUCUUAUGUGCUAUGGUGCGAUGAGGCGGCUCCUUUCAUCGUAGACAUGCAGUGGGUGUUUUUAUCAUGAGAAGAGGUAUUGGGGUGUUUUCUUCAGGUGACAGCCUAUCAUCUGAGGGAAAGGAGUCAAUUUAUCGAUUCCAGCUUGGCUUGAGAGG